RNAcentral lists this ribosomal RNA (223 nucleotides) under uncultured bacterium. Its description in RNAcentral is "partial 16S ribosomal RNA". It matches the Rfam family "Bacterial small subunit ribosomal RNA", at positions 1269 to 1500 of the family's 1533-position model. The record is from RNAcentral.
GGAUCUCGAAAGCCUGUCCCAGUUCGGACUGGAGUCUGCAACCCGACUCCACGAAGUUGGAUUCGCCAGUAAUCGCGCAUCAGCCAUGGCGCGGUGAAUACGUUCCCGGGCCUUGUACACACCGCCCGUCAAGCCAAGGGAGCCGGGGGCGCCUGAAGUCCGGGACCGCGAGGACCGGCCUAGGGCGAAACUGGUAACUGGGGCUAAGUCGUAACAAGGUAGC